Molecule: ribosomal RNA, 753 nt
Filed under: marine metagenome
Description: bacterial SSU rRNA
Rfam family: Bacterial small subunit ribosomal RNA
Source: RNAcentral
AAAGCAUGGGUAGCGAAGAGGAUUAGAUACCCUCGUAGUCCAUGCCGUAAACGAUGUGUGUUAGACGUUGGAAAUUUAUUUUCAGUGUCGCAGGGAAACCGAUAAACACACCGCCUGGGGAGUACGACCGCAAGGUUAAAACUCAAAUGAAUUGACGGGGACCCGCACAAGUAGUGGAGCAUGUGGUUUAAUUCGAAGAUACGCGCAGAACCUUACCAACACUUGACAUGUUCGUCGCGACUCUAAGAGAUUAGAGUUUUCGGUUCGGCCGGACGAAACACAGGUGCUGCAUGGCUGUCGUCAGCUCGUGUCGUGAGAUGUUGGGUUAAGUCCCGCAACGAGCGCAACCCUCACUUUUAGUUGCCAUCAUUAAGUUGGGCACUCUGAAAGAACUGCCAGUGAUAAGCUGGAGGAAGGUGGGGAUGACGUCAAGUCCUCAUGGCCCUUACGUGUUGGGCUACACACGUGCUACAAUGGUAUCUACAACAGGAAGCAAGACUGCGAAGUUAAGCAAAUCCCUAAAAGAUACCUCAGUUCGGAUUGCACUCUGCAACUCGAGUGCAUGAAGCUGGAAUUACUAGUAAUCGUGGAUCAGCGUGCCACGGUGAAUGCGUUCCCGGGUCUUGUACACACCGCCCGUCACACCAUGGGAGUUGGUUCUACCUUAAGGCAAGGUUUCAAACCCUUGACCACGGUAUAGUCAGCGACUGGGGUGAAGUCGUAACAAGGUAGCCGUAGGGGAACCUGCGGCUG